UACGGAGGGGGCUAGCGUUGUUCGGAAUUACUGGGCGUAAAGCGCACGUAGGCGGCUUUGCAAGUUAGAGGUGAAAGCCCGGGGCUCAACUCCGGAAUUGCCUUUAAAACUGCAUCGCUAGAAUUGUGGAGAGGUAAGUGGAAUUCCGAGUGUAGAGGUGAAAUUCGUAGAUAUUAGGAAGAACACCAGUGGCGAAGGCGGCUCACUGGCCCGAUACUGACGCUGAGGCACGAAAGCGUGGGGAGCAAACAGG
RNAcentral lists this ribosomal RNA (253 nucleotides) under uncultured bacterium. RNAcentral describes it as "partial 16S ribosomal RNA". It matches the Rfam family "Bacterial small subunit ribosomal RNA", at positions 524 to 776 of the family's 1533-position model. The record is from RNAcentral.